CCUGCAAAAAGAAUAAGUGAUAGAAAUACACCUGCAAUCCAUGACGUCUCAAGUAUACUACUUUUAAACUUUUCGAUUAUGAUCAUUUGUAUCAGACCAAUUGUAUAAAAGAAAUAUCCAGAUAAACAGUGUGAUCCAAAAUCUCCUACUACCACAAUCCAUGCCCAUCCACGAUCAGGGGUCGUUAUGAUCAUUUGAAAACUAGCUCCAGAUGAAAUUCAG
RNAcentral lists this long non-coding RNA (222 nucleotides) under Mytilus galloprovincialis (Mediterranean mussel). The record is from RNAcentral. Lineage: Eukaryota; Metazoa; Mollusca; Bivalvia; Mytilida; Mytilidae.